AAAUUGAAGAGUUUGAUCAUGGCUCAGAUUGAACGCUGGCGGCAGGCCUAACACAUGCAAGUCGAACGGUAACAGGAAGAAGCUUGCUUCUUUGCUGACGAGUGGCGGACGGGUGAGUAAUGUCUGGGAAACUGCCUGAUGGAGGGGGAUAACUACUGGAAACGGUAGCUAAUACCGCAUAACGUCGCAAGACCAAAGAGGGGGACCUUCGGGCCUCUUGCCAUCGGAUGUGCCCAGAUGGGAUUAGCUAGUAGGUGGGGUAACGGCUCACCUAGGCGACGAUCCCUAGCUGGUCUGAGAGGAUGACCAGCCACACUGGAACUGAGACACGGUCCAGACUCCUACGGGAGGCAGCAGUGGGGAAUAUUGCACAAUGGGCGCAAGCCUGAUGCAGCCAUGCCGCGUGUAUGAAGAAGGCCUUCGGGUUGUAAAGUACUUUCAGGGGGGAGGAAGGGAGUAAAGUUAAUACCUUUGCUCAUUGACGUUACCCGCAGAAGAAGCACCGGCUAACUCCGUGCCAGCAGCCGCGGUAAUACGGAGGGUGCAAGCGUUAAUCGGAAUUACUGGGCGUAAAGCGCACGCAGGCGGUUUGUUAAGUCAGAUGUGAAAUCCCCGGGCUCAACCUGGGAACUGCAUCUGAUACUGGCAAGCUUGAGUCUCGUAGAGGGGGGUAGAAUUCCAGGUGUAGCGGUGAAAUGCGUAGAGAUCUGGAGGAAUACCGGUGGCGAAGGCGGCCCCCUGGACGAAGACUGACGCUCAGGUGCGAAAGCGUGGGGAGCAAACAGGAUUAGAUACCCUGGUAGUCCACGCCGUAAACGAUGUCGACUUGGAGGUUGUGCCCUUGAGGCGUGGCUUCCGGAGCUAACGCGUUAAGUCGACCGCCUGGGGAGUACGGCCGCAAGGUUAAAACUCAAAUGAAUUGACGGGGGCCCGCACAAGCGGUGGAGCAUGUGGUUUAAUUCGAUGCAACGCGAAGAACCUUACCUGGUCUUGACAUCCACAGAACUUUCCAGAGAUGGAUUGGUGCCUUCGGGAACUGUGAGACAGGUGCUGCAUGGCUGUCGUCAGCUCGUGUUGUGAAAUGUUGGGUUAAGUCCCGCAACGAGCGCAACCCUUAUCCUUUGUUGCCAGCGGUCCGGCCGGGAACUCAAAGGAGACUGCCAGUGAUAAACUGGAGGAAGGUGGGGAUGACGUCAAGUCAUCAUGGCCCUUACGACCAGGGCUACACACGUGCUACAAUGGCGCAUACAAAGAGAAGCGACCUCGCGAGAGCAAGCGGACCUCAUAAAGUGCGUCGUAGUCCGGAUUGGAGUCUGCAACUCGACUCCAUGAAGUCGGAAUCGCUAGUAAUCGUGGAUCAGAAUGCCACGGUGAAUACGUUCCCGGGCCUUGUACACACCGCCCGUCACACCAUGGGAGUGGGUUGCAAAAGAAGUAGGUAGCUUAACCUUCGGGAGGGCGCUUACCACUUUGUGAUUCAUGACUGGGGUGAAGUCGUAACAAGGUAACCGUAGGGGAACCUGCGGUUGGAUCACCUCCUUACCUUAAAGAAGC
RNAcentral lists this ribosomal RNA (1554 nucleotides) under Escherichia coli O55:H7. RNAcentral describes it as "bacterial SSU rRNA". It matches the Rfam family "Bacterial small subunit ribosomal RNA". Lineage: Bacteria; Pseudomonadati; Pseudomonadota; Gammaproteobacteria; Enterobacterales; Enterobacteriaceae. The record is from RNAcentral.